AUAAAAGGUUGGUUACAUUAGUUCCCUUUUCCUGACAAUAUUAUAAAAACUUUGUCAUUGACUGGCAUAAAUAACCCAGGAAACAUGUUUACAAAGACAAAGCACAUUAUCAUGCCUAAGCACUUAUUUACAAGUCUUUAUACAUUUCCUUGAUUGAAUGAUUUAACUAAUUAAGUGUUUAUAUUUCUGCAGUGACUUUUUGUGCACCCCUGAGUCCAGCUCACUCAGCCACCUUGUGUUAUUUGUCCUACACUGAUCUUGCACUGUUUUGGAAACUGCUGUUUGUGAUGCCACUCCUGCUGCCUGAGUGAAUCAAUAAACCACUUUUAACCAGAAUUACAGACCAGUGUCAGGAGGCAGGAGAUCAGCAAUUAUGUCAAUUAUGGCAGGACAAAACAUUUUUUUUUGGCAAACUUAUAAUAAA
Long non-coding RNA from Trichomycterus rosablanca, 424 nucleotides. RefSeq lists it as uncharacterized. The transcript has 3 exons. NCBI's taxonomy places the organism in Eukaryota, Metazoa, Chordata, Actinopteri, Siluriformes, Trichomycteridae. The record is from RefSeq and is a predicted model, not a curated record.